Molecule: long non-coding RNA, 1383 nt
Filed under: Taeniopygia guttata (zebra finch)
Lineage: Eukaryota; Metazoa; Chordata; Aves; Passeriformes; Estrildidae
Description: lncRNA (ENSTGUG00000023546.1)
Source: RNAcentral
AUGGCCCCGCUCCCCCGGGCCGCCCGCGCCUCAGCGAGCCCUACGGGAAAGCUUCCCCCGGGGAAGGUGGGUGUCAGGUGGCCACCGACGGUGUGUGCCUGCCUGGGUGCACGGAGAGGUCUGGAAACAGGAGGAGAAGCGGGCGCUCGCUGCCUUCCCUGCCGCCGACAGCCGCUCGGUCGGAGCGCGCGUCCCGCCGCGUCCGGCGGCCCGCAGGCGCGGACACGGACCCGAGUAUCCCGGACCAUCCACGGCUGGCACGCCGCCGUCCCUGUCCCUUCCAACCCCCCAGGGCAUCGGCGCUACCGGGGACUCUCUCAGGACUGUUACUUACUUCUUUGGAAAGUGGACCUCGUUUCUUUCGUUUUCUUUUGCUUUUGGGAAAGAAAGACAGGGGGAAAGAAAAAAAAAAUUAAAAAAAAAAUUAGAAAAGAAAAAGCCCACGUGUCCUACCUAUGCCCGAUGACCGGCAUAGGUAGCCAGACCCUCCUCCGGGCUCCGCCAGCUGCUGCGGGGACCCUGCGCUGCUGCCCGUGGCUCCGCGCCCGUCUGGGCUCCGCGGGACUCCGCGGCUCCAGGGCUGCGCUCGCCUCUUCCAGGGGUGAAUGCGAGCCAGGGAUGCAGCAGAAAACGUCGCGGGUGCUCUCCGGGCAGCGAGCAGACAGCGAGAUAUAUCUGGGGAGGGGAGGGGGUAGGGCUGGUCCCAGGGACAUUGUCCUUUGGGAAAAAGCUCCUGCCUCUCUUCCAACUCUUUCGCAAGCUCGGACUCUGCCUUGGAGAGGAGAAACCUCUCUGCAGCACGAGCUCCUAUCCCGGCGAGGCUCUCUGCGUGGUUUUCCUCCGCAGACUUUUCCCCCCAGUAGAGGCUGGGGGCCGGCUGCCUCCCGAGGCCCUGCAGAGCACCGGGGGCUUUCCCUGGGUGCUAUUUUUCGGGCCGGGCCGGUGUGCAGGAGAGCUCGGCUCCUCCGGGCUGGAGCGGGGAGAGAGCCCGGCCGGGGCUUCCCGGCGGGAAGACGGGCAGCGGAGUUCGUGCCGGCCGCCCCCGGCCCAGCCUGCUUUUCCUGCUUCCAGGAACAGCUUCCCCCUCCCGACAACGGCGGGACUCCAGCUAAGUGGGGAGCAAUCCACAGCCGAUCUAGAAAUAGAAAACCAGUUGGAAGGAAGCGGGAGCUGCCCGAUUUGCUGUCGGUCAGGCAGAUCUGCCUUCUUUCCUCGACAGGGAUGUUCCUGCCCCGUACGCGGCAGCAGCAACCCUCGAGCAUCCUUCGGGGACCGCCGCAGGCUCUCCCGCGCUGCGGGCACGGGAGCGAGUGCCAUGGGAGGAGGAAAAUGAGGACAGCCUGUCGCACCCUGGCCAGAGGAUGUUCCCAGUCCCUCGGCUGA